GCGGAGAGGAACUGGCCCCGCGGGACAAGAAGGUGUCAGAGGUCCAGCCCCACCUUCCAGAAAGGAUCCACUCCCCUCUCCCCGAGACCAUCCAGAAACACGCCCGGGGAACACGCCACCAGAAGGAAGGACGUGAUGGGACUCAGGGCCUGUCCCUCCUCUUCCAGAGCCCCUUCCUCCUGGCCCUGACACACCUCCUUGACAGCAACCUGCGGACACGCACAGGUGACACCCACAGUCCUGUCUCUCCAGUGUGACCCUCCAGGCGGCACCUUCUAAUGACUAACACAAGCAACGUCUGGCAGACACUGGGGCUCGCUGGGUACCCUGCUCUGUGCUGGGCGUUUUCCUACACAUCGGGGUUGGGGUUCACCUUGACCAUCUGAAGAAACAGGAUCCAGGUCCAGUAGACUUCCCAAGAGCCCACCACUGUACACCACCGAGGCAGGAUUUGAACCCAGAUCCCAGGCCCUGAACCCUGAGCUCCUGACAGUUCCCUCAACGUUCAGUCCAUCACUGCUCAUGCCCUGCCAUGGGCAUUUGUGACCUGGACUCAGAUGACAAAAUCCCAGAGAAGGGAACGGGGGUCCGCUCUUAUGUUUAAACUAAAGAAAUGGAAGGCCAGACUCAGGGAGGGACUGGAAGUAGGAUGUGGGAGCCCUCCCCAGGGCCCCCCGGAGCAGAGGCAGCCCUUCUUCAGCACUGACUGCAGCUGACAUGAGGCCCAGUCAGAAAGGGAAAGGGGAUUCCAGGGUAAAGAAGAAAAUUCUAGAACCAGGAGCUGAGAGAGCCCUAGCAGUCUCCUCUCCAGUUCCCAGCAGAGGUUUGUGGUGGCGGCUGGCCACGCACUGGAGACCUGAGCCUCAUUCCAGAGCCAUUUGUCCUGCACCUGGCCUUCAGCCACUCGGUCCUGUGACCACCUGGACCAAGCCCCAGAAACCUGCAGCUCUGUUUCUUCAUCUGUGCAAUUCAAUUGGUUGUGGUGACUCCCGAGGCCAUCGUGGGGACCCUGAGGGACACAGGCAUGGAAAUACCUGUAGGAUGUAAGAUGUUGAGCCCACGUGGACGGCCCCUGGGAAGUGACCGUGUGGCAGCACUAGAGAGGGAGCAAGAGGAUGCAGAAGGAGCCGGACAGAGCCGAGAGUUGUGUGUGAAAGCGGUCACUGAGGCCUGGGGAUGGGGCCACGGCAGGAGCCUCCACCAGGUCUUGGAAGGACAGGCUCCUGUUUUCUCUGUAAUCCCCACACCUACCCACAGCUCGUCCAGUAUCACCAUGAGGGCAGUAUCACCAAACCCUGUGUGUGACAUCUCGGGGACCCACCAUGGGCCUCUCCACGGCCUCACCCUGAGCUCAGGCUACGCUGCAGUAGCACAGCAGGCAAGCGAAAGGGCACGACCUUGAGAGAGUCCCAGCCAGUGACCUCGUCUGCAACGGACGCCUGAGGGUCACCUACGUCCAGGGCCUUCUGAUGUACAGUCAUCCACUGCUCAACAGAGGUCCUGGCCUCUCUCUCCUGUCACCCGGCAACACCCCAGCACCGUGGAGGCUGGGCCUCGAGACAGGCUUCACAGAUGAGGCCGCAGAACCCCAGCUCCCGGUUGGGACUGGACAUUUCCAUCAGGACUCGGGUUCGCUGCACCGCUCACUUGCAUCUUGGUCUUAUUUUGUUCUUCUUUGCCUAACACUUUUUAAAGCGGAUCUUAGUGGCCUCGCAGCAGCUCCUCGGGGAUAGACAGGGCACCCCCUUCCUGAAAGCUGACUCAGGGAAACAGGAGGCGUCAAAUAGCUUUCUAAUGAGCCUGUUCAGGGGACGAACGCCCAACCGCCAGGCCAGUGCCCGUCCACCCAGAUGAUGCCGCCUGCGGGGAGGGGAAGCCCGGAGGGACUGUCAAGCCUUCCCCAGGACAGUUAUAAAUAGUGUGGUGACAGGCAGAGGAAGGCACAGCUAAAAAGUUAGCUGUCCCCCUGCGGGUCACAAACGUUGGACUCAUUGGCUGACUGUCCACAAAGAUUAUAAAUAAGUUGGUCACCAUCCUGGGGGGUGAGAGCCUGUUUUCACACUGCCAGAAGUCGUUGGCCCUCCUCGGGGACAACACACUCAGUGUGACCUGUGACAAUCAAAUGUGGCCCUGGAGUCCCUUGGCAGCUGGCUCUCAGGCGACUGCCUGUGGUCAAAGCCUUCACAGUCUUCUGCCUUCUGGAAGUCUCCAGGUCAUCCCCAGGGAGGGUCUGGGAAAGGAACCUGUCCUAUUCCCACUCCCCAGCAUGCCUGGACCCUGGACCCCGUGCCCCAAGGGGUCCUCUCAAACACCCGAGAACCUGCUCUGACAGCCACCUGCCCACCCCCAAGGGCACCUGGGCCUCGCAGGAACAGUCAUUCACCCCCAGCACCUGCUUCUGCACCGCCUUUUUGGAGACAGGACAGGGCAGGGCAGGGCAGGGCAGGGCAGAGCCCGGGACUGAGACGCUACUGGGGCUGGGGAAGCGGCUCAAUGGGAAAGUGUCUGUGUAGCCUGCAGAAGGCCCCGGGUCGAUCCCCAGCACCAAAAAGUAAAAAGAACGGGGUACCAUUGACCAUGGCAACUGGAGGCUAGGGGUGGACUCCCUGACCUCCGGGCAUUCAGCAAAAAGACAGGCAGCAAGACGGCCCUGGCCUAAGGGGCACCACUCUCUCUGAAGAGUGAAUGGCCAGGAGUUGACGGCUCUGGGCAUGAGGAGGGUGGCCGCCAAGGUCAGAGGUGAGAAAGCAGCUCCUCAUGGGAGGAGACAGGGCGCCAGCCAGCGCCUUCCCGCGGACGCCUCUGAGUGCAGCUGAGUUACCUGGGCAACGGACCCAGCAAAGGUGCAGGGAGGAGCCAGAGGCAGGAGGAGGGGCGGGACGCUGGUGGCCUAGGCAGGAGGGGCAGGGGGUGGCAGAGGACGGCUCUGCCUGAGACGGGAAACUCAGAUGCAUCUUGAAGUCGAGGGUGGGGAAGUGUUUGAGGUGGUACAGGAUUAGUGAGAAGUGCUCCCUGCUGCGCCAGAGUGUCCCAGCCUCCCACGAGACCACCCCACAGCCCUGGCGACCKGCUCCCUGGAGA
Urocitellus parryii (Arctic ground squirrel) is the source of this 3081-nucleotide long non-coding RNA. RefSeq lists it as uncharacterized. The record is from RefSeq and is a predicted model, not a curated record. NCBI's taxonomy places the organism in Eukaryota, Metazoa, Chordata, Mammalia, Rodentia, Sciuridae.